This 497-nucleotide ribosomal RNA is filed under the name uncultured bacterium. Its description in RNAcentral is "partial 16S ribosomal RNA". It matches the Rfam family "Bacterial small subunit ribosomal RNA", at positions 28 to 507 of the family's 1533-position model. The record is from RNAcentral.
GAUGAACGCUAGCGGCGUGCCUAAUACAUGCAAGUCGAGCGAACGGACGAGAAGCUUGCUUCUCUGAUGUUAGCGGCGGACGGGUGAGUAACACGUGGAUAACCUACCUAUAAGACUGGGAUAACUUCGGGAAACCGGAGCUAAUACCGGAUAAUAUUUUGAACCGCAUGGUUCAAAAGUAAAAGACGGUCUUGCUGUCACUUAUAGAUGGAUCCGCGCUGCAUUAGCUAGUUGGUAAGGUAACGGCUUACCAAGGCAACGAUGCAUAGCCGACCUGAGAGGGUGAUCGGCCACACUGGAACUGAGACACGGUCCAGACUCCUACGGGAGGCAGCAGUAGGGAAUCUUCCGCAAUGGGCGAAAGCCUGACGGAGCAACGCCGCGUGAGUGAUGAAGGUCUUCGGAUCGUAAAACUCUGUUAUUAGGGAAGAACAUAUGUGUAAGUAACUGUGCACAUCUUGACGGUACCUAAUCAGAAAGCCACGGCUAACUACGUG